UACGAAGGGGGCUAGCGUUGCUCGGAAUUACUGGGCGUAAAGCGCGCGUAGGCGGGUCGUUAAGUCGGGGGUGAAAUCCUGGAGCUCAACUCCAGAACUGCCUUCGAUACUGGCGAUCUUGAGUCCGGGAGAGGUGAGUGGAACUCCGAGUGUAGAGGUGAAAUUCGUAGAUAUUCGCAAGAACACCAGUGGCGAAGGCGGCUCACUGGCCCGAUACUGACGCUGAGGCACGAAAGCGUGGGGAGCAAACAGG
RNAcentral lists this ribosomal RNA (253 nucleotides) under uncultured bacterium. RNAcentral describes it as "partial 16S ribosomal RNA". It matches the Rfam family "Bacterial small subunit ribosomal RNA", at positions 524 to 776 of the family's 1533-position model. The record is from RNAcentral.